RNAcentral lists this unclassified non-coding RNA (371 nucleotides) under fungal sp. Its description in RNAcentral is "partial internal transcribed spacer region". The stretch from base 1 to 46 matches the Rfam family "Eukaryotic small subunit ribosomal RNA", at positions 1786 to 1831 of the family's 1831-position model. The record is from RNAcentral. Lineage: Eukaryota; Fungi.
AAGUCGUAACAAGGUUUCCGUAGGUGAACCUGCGGAAGGAUCAUUAACACGUUUCCAAAUAAACGUCCCAAACUAAAACUCUGUGAACUAGAGAUCCGCUAAAGUACUCUUUUCACUCACUGUGGGGAAGAAACAGCUAGAUUUUUUCGAAAGUCUAAAAAGGAUCUCGCAUUUUUCUCUUAACAAAUAUUUAACUCCAUUAACAAAAAUGAUUCAAAUCGUCUGGUUUGGAUCUUUUUGUGUCUAUAAUAUUCUUUUUAAGAGAAUUAGGAGAAAUCCUAAUCCUUUUCUAAGGAUCUCGAACUUUUAGUUUGAGUUUCCUUAUGAACCAAAACGUUGAACAACUCUUAGCAACGGAUAUCUUGGUUCCC